ACGGAUCUGACACUGGUUGGGCUUUUCAGAAGAUCUGCAUCAAUUUUGCUAGGUGGGGAUACGCCGUCUUCGCCGCUGAUCUUCUCGGCCAUGGCAGAUCAGACGGCAUUCGUUGCUACUUGGGUUCGUACCUCCAUUUCUUUUAUUCCUGUUAAAAAGUUUGAUUCAUGAAUCCUAAUUAUGUUGGAGAAAAUUUAUGUUGCUGCUAUUUGCUUGGGAUUUUGGAGUACUAUUAAAUAAACCAUUUGGGCGAAAUGUUGAUGUAGGUGACAUGGAGAAAGUAGCAGCGACAUCCUUAUCAUUCUUCAAGGAGAUGCGAUACAGGGAAGAAUACAAGAACUUACCAGCUUUCCUCUUCGGUGAAUCAAUGGGUGGGUUAGUAACGAUGCUGAUGUACUUCCAAUCGGAGCCGGAGACUUGGACGGGACUAAUCUUCUCGGCUCCACUCUUCGUGAUUCCAGAGCCGAUGAAACCGAGCAAGCUCCGGCUAUUUCUCUACGGGCUUCUAUUUGGAUUAGCU
Molecule: long non-coding RNA, 520 nt
Filed under: Carica papaya (papaya)
Lineage: Eukaryota; Viridiplantae; Streptophyta; Magnoliopsida; Brassicales; Caricaceae
Description: long non-coding RNA (CPAP_LNC014365)
Source: RNAcentral